UACGGGAGGCAGCAGUGGGGAAUAUUGCACAAUGGGCGCAAGCCUGAUGCAGCCAUGCCGCGUGUAUGAAGAAGGCCUUCGGGUUGUAAAGUACUUUCAGCAGUGAGGAAGGUGGGUAUGUUAAUAGCAUACUCAUUUGACGUUAGCUGCAGAAGAAGCACCGGCUAACUCCGUGCCAGCAGCCGCGGUAAUACGGAGGGUGCGAGCGUUAAUCGGAAUUACUGGGCGUAAAGCGCAUGCAGGUGGUUUGUUAAGUCAGAUGUGAAAGCCCGGGGCUCAACCUCGGAAUUGCAUUUGAAACUGGCAAACUAGAGUACUGUAGAGGGGGUAGAAUUUCAGGUGUAGCGAUGAAAUGCGUAGAGAUCUGAAGGAAUACCGGUGGCGAAGGCGGCCCCCUGGACAGAUACUGACACUCAGAUGCGAAAGCGUGGGGAGCAAACAGGAUUAGAUACCCUGGUAG
This 460-nucleotide ribosomal RNA is filed under the name uncultured bacterium. RNAcentral's name for it is "bacterial SSU rRNA". It matches the Rfam family "Bacterial small subunit ribosomal RNA", at positions 340 to 793 of the family's 1533-position model. The record is from RNAcentral.